GACCAGUCAGGUCCUGACGUCUCCAAGGAAGCAGCGAAGAUCAGGAUUCUCCCUGCGUGCGCUGUGCUGCUGGUGCCGCUGAGCAGAGAGGGACCUUGAUCCUGGUCAAAAUGAGGACAGAGGUGCUGCCUGUGGAGAGAUCCAGAUCCCAGGCCUGGGGAAGCUGCUGGCACAUCCAUUCAAGUCACUCAAGAGAGAAGAGACCACUUGAUGGCUCUGGAUGCUCUCUGUGCCCACUUCAAGUUCAUCUGUCAGCAGAAAGAACUUGAACUACUGCGGGCCAGAGAGAAGGAUCCUGGGCGCUCAGACCCGCCUGCCUAAAAUCCUGCGAGAGGACUCGGUGUGCCUGGAUCCAAGCCCAGCCACAGACCUGUCCAAACUGUAUAUAGUUCUAGAAAGUUAAUUACCUUCUAGAUAUAAUUUA
Corvus hawaiiensis (hawaiian crow) is the source of this 424-nucleotide long non-coding RNA. RefSeq lists it as uncharacterized. NCBI's taxonomy places the organism in Eukaryota, Metazoa, Chordata, Aves, Passeriformes, Corvidae. The record is from RefSeq and is a predicted model, not a curated record. The transcript has 3 exons.